This 337-nucleotide ribosomal RNA is filed under the name Centruroides tuxtla. RNAcentral's name for it is "partial 12S ribosomal RNA". Lineage: Eukaryota; Metazoa; Arthropoda; Arachnida; Scorpiones; Buthidae. The record is from RNAcentral.
CAAAGAAGGAAAAAUCUAGGUAGUAUUGGAUGGCUUAAAACUUAAAAAAUUUGGCGGUGUUUUAAUCUUAUUAGAGGAACUUGUUUUAUAAUCGAUAAUACUCGACAAAUCUUACUUAAGUUAAUAAUUUGUAUAUCGUUGUGACAAUAAUAUUUUAUAACAAUUAUUGAGGGUAAUUAUAUUUUUAAUAUCAGAUCAAGGUUCAGUUUAUAUUUAAGUGAAAAGUGGGUUACAAUAUAAAGAUAUAUUACGGAUUUUAUUAUUCAAAGUUAGAUGAAGGAGGAUUUAAAAGUAUUUUCAUAAUAAUAUGUUGAAUUGAAUUAGCUCUGAAACAUGC